RNAcentral lists this ribosomal RNA (429 nucleotides) under uncultured Alphaproteobacteria bacterium. Its description in RNAcentral is "bacterial SSU rRNA". It matches the Rfam family "Bacterial small subunit ribosomal RNA", at positions 29 to 505 of the family's 1533-position model. Lineage: Bacteria; Pseudomonadati; Pseudomonadota; Alphaproteobacteria. The record is from RNAcentral.
AACGAACGCUGGCGGCAGGCUUAACACAUGCAAGUCGAACGCACCUUCGGGUGAGUGGCGCACGGGUGAGUAACGCGUGGGAACGUACCCUUUAGUAUGGAAUAGCUCCGGGAAACUGGAAUUAAUACCGUAUACGCCCUUCGGGGGAAAGAUUUAUCGCUAAAGGAUCGGCCCGCGUGACAUUAGAUUGUUGGUGGGGUAAUGGCCUACCAAGUCUACGAUGUCUAGCUGGUCUGAGAGGAUGAUCAGCCACACUGGAACUGAGACACGGUCCAGACUCCUACGGGAGGCAGCAGUGGGGAAUAUUGGACAAUGGGCGCAAGCCUGAUCCAGCCAUGCCGCGUGUGUGAUGAAGGCCUUAGGGUUGUAAAACACUUUUAUGAGGGAAGAUGAAGACGGUACCUCAAGAAUAAGCUCCGGCUAACUUCG